RNAcentral lists this ribosomal RNA (320 nucleotides) under uncultured Bacillota bacterium. RNAcentral describes it as "bacterial SSU rRNA". It matches the Rfam family "Bacterial small subunit ribosomal RNA", at positions 1063 to 1382 of the family's 1533-position model. The record is from RNAcentral. Lineage: Bacteria; Bacillati; Bacillota.
UGUCGUGAGAUGUUGGGUUAAGUCCCGCAACGAGCGCAACCCUUAUCAUUAGUUUGCUAACAAUUCAGUUGAGAAACUCUAAUGAGACUGCCAGUGAUAAACUGGAGGAAGGUGGGGAUGACGUCAAAUCAUCAUGCCCCUUAUGACCUAGCUACACACGUGCUACAAUGGCCGGUACAAAGAGUUGCGAAACUGUGAAGUUAAGCUAAUCUCAUAAAGCCGGUCUCAGUUCGGAUUGUAGUCUGCAACUCGACUACAUGAAGUCGGAAUCGCUAGUAAUCGCGAAUCAGAAUGUCGCGGUGAAUACGUUCUCGAGUCUU